RNAcentral lists this ribosomal RNA (774 nucleotides) under uncultured Neocallimastigales. Its description in RNAcentral is "partial large subunit ribosomal RNA". It matches the Rfam family "Eukaryotic large subunit ribosomal RNA", at positions 23 to 647 of the family's 3401-position model. The record is from RNAcentral. Lineage: Eukaryota; Fungi; Neocallimastigomycota; Neocallimastigomycetes; Neocallimastigales.
AGAGAUGUGUGAUGACGCAUAUCAAUAAGCGGAGGAAAAGAAACUAACAAGGAUUCCCUUAGUAACGGCGAGUGAAGCGGGAAGAGCUCAAAUUUGAAAUCUUCAAGGUUCUACCUUGACGAAUUGUAGUUUAUAGAAGUGUUUUCUGUUAGUAGAGUGGCAAAAGUUCUUUGGAAUAGGACAUCAUAGAGGGUGAGAAUCCCGUAUUUGGUCAUUCUUUCUAGCUUUGUGAUACACUUUCAACGAGUCGGAUUGUUUGGGAAUGCAGUCCAAAAUGGGUGGUAAAUUUCAUCUAAAGCUAAAUAUUGGCGAGAGACCGAUAGCGAACAAGUACCGUGAGGGAAAGAUGAAAAGAACUUUGAAAAGAGAGUUAAACAGUACGUGAAAUUGUCAAAAGGGAAGCGUUUGACACCAGUGUUGUUUUUCCGAAAAUCAAUUACGAAUGUUUUAUUUUUGAGAAGUUAUGACUUCAUCGGCUUGCUUCUCUCUUUACGAAACUUUCUUAAUGCACUUUUCGGUUAACAAGUCAACAUCAAUUUCUUUUGUUGUAAAAGGGUAUGAGGAAGGUGGCUUUCUUUUCGGAGAAAGUGUUUAUAGCCUUGUACCUCUGCAAUCGGAGAGAUUGAGGUCUGCAGCGUAGAUCCUUCGGGGUUAGAUACAUUUGUGCUAAGUUAUAGCUUUUCAUAGACAACUUGUUGACUAUGUUAAGUCUUGUAGCUUACUCGCUUAUGCUAUUUUACCUACGCUUAGGAUGUUGAUCUGUAGUGCGUGCGC